GUGUCAGCAGCCGCGGUAAGACAGAGGGUGCAAACGUUGUUCGGAAUUACUGGGCGUAAAGCGCGUGUAGGCCGCUUUGCAAGUCGGAUGUGAAAGCCCUGGGCUCAACCUGGGAAGCGCAUUCGAAACUGCGAAGCUUGAGUCCUGGAGAGGAUAGCGGAAUUCUCGGUGUAGAGGUGAAAUUCGUAGAUAUCGAGAGGAACACCGGUGGCGAAGGCGGCUAUCUGGACAGUGACUGACGCUGAGACGCGAAAGCGUGGGGAGCAAACAGGAUUAGAUACCCUGGUAGUCCACGCCGUAAACGAUGGGUGCUAGGUGUCGCGGGCUUUGACCCCUGCGGCGCCGCAGCUAACGCAUUAAGCACCCCGCCUGGGGAGUACGGCCGCAAGGCUAAA
Molecule: ribosomal RNA, 395 nt
Filed under: uncultured bacterium
Lineage: Bacteria
Description: bacterial SSU rRNA
Rfam family: Bacterial small subunit ribosomal RNA
Source: RNAcentral